RNAcentral lists this ribosomal RNA (166 nucleotides) under Golovinomyces sp. RNAcentral's name for it is "partial large subunit ribosomal RNA". It matches the Rfam family "Eukaryotic large subunit ribosomal RNA", at positions 99 to 261 of the family's 3401-position model. Lineage: Eukaryota; Fungi; Ascomycota; Leotiomycetes; Helotiales; Erysiphaceae. The record is from RNAcentral.
CGGUAACAGCUCAAAUUUGAAAUCUGGCUCUUCCGGAGUCCGAGUUGUAAUUUGUAGAAGAUGCUUUGGGAGGUAGGGCCGGCCUAAGUUCCUUGGAACAGGACAUCAGAGAGGGUGAGAAUCCCGUAUGUGGCCGUGGCCUACGCCCGUGUAAAGCUCUUUCGAC